RNAcentral lists this ribosomal RNA (447 nucleotides) under uncultured bacterium. RNAcentral's name for it is "partial 16S ribosomal RNA". It matches the Rfam family "Bacterial small subunit ribosomal RNA", at positions 28 to 523 of the family's 1533-position model. The record is from RNAcentral.
GACGAACGCUGGCGGUAUGCUUAACACAUGCAAGUCGAACGCCCCGCAAGGGGAGUGGCAGACGGGUGAGUAACGCGUGGGAAUCUACCGUGCCCUACGGAAUAGCUCCGGGAAACUGGAAUUAAUACCGUAUACGCCCUACGGGGGAAAGAUUUAUCGCCAAAAGAUGAGUCCGCGUACGAUUAGCUAGUUGGUGAGGUAAUGGCUCACCAAGGCGACGAUCGUUAGCUGGUCUGAGAGGACGAUCAGCCACACUGGGACUGAGACACGGCCCAGACUCCUACGGGAGGCAGCAGUGGGGAAUAUUGGACAAUGGGGGCAACCCUGAUCCAGCCAUGCCGCGUGAGUGAUGAAGGCCUUCGGGUUGUAAAGCUCUUCUGGCGGGGACGAUGAUGACGGUACCCGCAGAAUAAGCCCCGGCUAACUUCGUGCCAGCCGCCGCCGUAA